UCCACCGCCCCCUCCCCUCACGCUUAUCUUUUCCCCAUUCUUCACCCAGUCCUCCAAAUCCACAGCCUGGCCGCCCCUCCCCUUCCCGAUCCCCAUCCACAGCUGCCGGAGCUCUCUGCUGGCCGCACCUCUCCUUCGUCAGCAACGCCGGCGGACGCGCAUGCCCCUGCUUUGCCCCGCCCCCCCCUUCGUCAGCACCGCCGGCGGACGCGAGCGCCCCUGCUCUGCCCGCCCCUUCUUCCUAUCCGGUGCUGCUGGGACCCUCCUUCCUCCUGGUGACGGCGGGGCGCUCGAGCCGGGCAUGCUCGCGGCGACGCCGGGGCCCUCCCUCCUCGUGGCGACGGCGGGGCGCUAGAGCUGGGCAUGCUCGCCGGCGACGCCGGGGUUCGCUCGUGCUGAUGCACUCGCCGCGGCAGGAACUUCCCUCCCCCUCCACCCUGCUCAGGACGCCAUGAAGGAGCAGUUGCUGCUGGCGACCUCCAUAUUGAUUAGGAUCACCACGAUGACCUCCGCGUGCUGUGCUCGGGACCCUCCCUAUGCUUCUCGUCGCUCCUCUGGGUCCAGAAACUUCUUUUGUGAUGCAACUAAUGGGGAAAUACAAAAAUACAAAUAAUGUCGAUUACUUUGAGCCUUUUAGUUAGAAGGUAUACCAAUCUCUUUGCAGUGUGCUCUUAAUAUACUCUUCUCUUGGCCAUGCUGAGAUGUUUAAGUCUUUCUACUUAUCAGUAUUUAGUUCCAUUUGAAGCGAUGCAUAUUCGAAUACAUUUUCCAGUCCUUUGAGUUGUUGAAUGAAUAAAUGACAAAGUAUUAGCAUCACAA
Non-coding RNA from Triticum urartu, 819 nucleotides. Lineage: Eukaryota; Viridiplantae; Streptophyta; Magnoliopsida; Poales; Poaceae. The record is from RefSeq and is a predicted model, not a curated record.